CGAGUUAUAACCCAACUUCAAGCAGAGAUUGAGGCACGCAAGCAGACAGUUGAGAAUGCAAAGUCAGAAAUAUCAUAUCUGUCGACAAUGAGAUGAGAGAAAGUUAAGGAACUGAAGAAUUAAGUUGAGCAGGUCCUCAGUAUGAAGAGAGAGAAUCCAAGCAUGGAAAAGAAGAGAAAUCAAGCUCGCGAAUGAUUGACAAAAUCAAUGUGGAGUGGAAUGAAUUGUAUGCCGAUAUUAAAGGCCGAUUGGCCUCUAAAUAGGCUGGCACUUUUCACUUUCUUUUAUUUGAAUCUUCACGUGUCGAAAACUUUUCCAUUCUGGCAAAAAACACAGGUUUGGAAUUUCAUUUGUAGUUAUUUAUCAUUGCGGAAAGCGUGAAACAAGUUCUAUUGAAACAAAGAGAACGCUCACCUUGCAAACUCAGCAUGUCACUCGGCUUGGUCUGCAAUCUCCGAAGGCUCCGUGUAACUAGUCUUGCCAGAGGAAAAAUUGCUGGUCUCGGGAGGCAGCAGGCCAUGCAGAGUCCUCUAUGCAGCACCGUGCUUCUUGCUUUUCUUUGCCAUAGUCCUCUUUGGUAUAGAAGGCGGUCUUUGCGAUGAUAUCGGUGAAAUUAGCGUAACGUAGAUAUUCCAUACGUGCUCUCUCCACUGCGAAUUUCAGCAAAAUCCAGAUGUACCCAUGCACGCAAAGACGUGGUUUUGUCUAUGAUGCCUUGUUCUCCGGGGGAAACCUUAGCCACCAUCCAAGUAUAUCAAGAGAAAUUCAUAACCCUGUCGAUAGAGUUGGCAACAGGGUAUCCAAGAUAUGAACAAUUUUAGGCUCCAAAGCACCAUAAUUUAAGAUACCGGAAAGACCGCAUGGCAGGAAUUUUGACAUAGCAUCUAAGUUAGGACCUUGUUUUAAGUAGGUGGUAUCCCUUUAGUACGCUUAGCACUACGUAAUUUAUAUCAUGGGUUAUAUUCAUGUUGGUGUGAAGAUCAAUCCAAGUGAUUACUCGAGUUGCAAAAUUCUAGGUCUUGUGGGAUUCAAAAUUGAAAAAUUUUGGGGGAUAAGUACACUAAUGGUGCCAUAAGUUGUGUACGGUGCUCACUUUGGUGCCAAAAGUUUCCGUCGGAUCACUUAAGUGUCAAAUCAGAGGAAAAACGCUCACUUUGGUGCCACCGGCGAAAGAUUCCGGCCAAAAUGAUUUUUAAAAAAAAAAAAUCGAUAGGCCUUUAAAUGACGUCGUUUUCGGUCCUCCUUAAGAAAACGACGUCGUUUUGCCAUCCUACAUGGAUGGCUUCAUGGAAACGACGCCGUUUAGCUCACAUGGGGAAAAAUUAGGGUUUCCGUCGCUCGGCCACUGUCGUUCACCCGCCGUCACUCGGCCACCAUCGCUGCUCGGCCACCGUCGCUCAUCCACCAUUGUAGUUACUCGACCAAGUGAGCGAGGAGAGACUAAGAUUGUUGCAGGAAAAAUCGAAGGCGAGGGCGGAGGAGGAGGAGGAAGAAGAUGGGUCGAAGGGGCUGCUGGUGCAUUGCUGCUGCUGGUGCGUUGUUGGUGUGCUACCGGUGCUAUUGCUAGUGCCGUGCUGGUGCCGUUGCUAGUGUGGGUCUUCGAGGAAGAAGAAGACACGAAGACGAGCCUUCCCUCUCUCUCAAUUUGGGGAUUAGGGUUUCAAAGUUGGGGGAAAGAUGCCAAACGGCGUCGUUUUGGUGUUUGGAUGCUGACUCAACUCUCCGACGAGCCAUGUCGAUUUCAAAAAUUAAUUAAAAAAAAAAGGCCACGUCGGAUUUCCGGCCAAUUUCGUCGGCGUUGGCACCAAAGUGAGUGUUUUUCAAAUUUUUUGGCACUUAAGUGAUCCGACGGAAACUUUUGGCACCAAAGUGAGCGCCGUACACAACUUAUGGUACCAUUAGUGUACUUAUCCCAAAUUUUGGCAUUUGUAGAACUUUAAGGUUGCUGAUAUUCUUUUAUCUUGUUAAAAAUUAAACUAAUCUUCCCGUGUAGGCUAUUGAGUAUUGAUAAUUAACUUUGUAAUUUAACAGUGACUAAAAGCAGUAAGCAUGUGAUGGGUCAUUUCUUACCUUUGGACCUCGAGCUCCAUCCAAUGUAUCAUUUGACCACAUCCUCCGACAAGAAUCUACUUUUAUUUUCCACAAAAAUAAACUAAUUAGAGUAUGAUAAUUAAAGGAGAAUCAUACUUGAAUAUUUGGCUUUCAAUAUUUUCUUUUGGACACAUUUGAAUUUUUAUUUUUGGUCAAUUUGUACUUGAAUUCACCUCCUCAUUUUUUGCCAUUUCUCCCCCUUUUUGGUUAAUUUUUUUCUCAAUUCCUUUCCUCAAUUUUCUUCACUUUAGCUUUUUUUUUUAAUCACACGACGAUUAUAUAUUCAGAAUAGUUAACUUUCAAGAGAUAUAUUUCUACGUCACAUAUAGCAUUUGGUCAAAGUUUGAAAUAAUUAUUAAAUAAAAAAUAUUUUCAUUAUCAAUAAUAAUUUAUAUUUGAAUAUUUUUUGUUUAUAUAUUUUAUAAAUGUUACAUUCUCAAAAUGGUUUAUUUUUUCACAAAAUAAAUUAUGCUUUGUCAAAAUUUAUAAUUAACACUUAACAAAUAUUGAGUCGGAGAGGAGUAAAACCGCGAUAGAUAUGUGGAAAUAACAAAUGAUUUCACAUACCCAACAACCGUUGUUACUUUGCUUUUAUCUGUUGGUCAUUGGAUCUAGGGUUAGGCACGUCGGAUCGCUCAAAUCAGGAACCACUCAGACCGAACCGGAUCUGGUCAAGGCCCAGGAACCAGUUGACUAUAGAAAUUCCGCACAGACGGAGCACCUGCUUCCCCAUUAAUCAACUAGGGCGGAGCAUGGCAUUGUCAAGAGUCUGUCCGAGGGAAUUUUCCGAGCAUUCGUGAGUCUCCUUUGCAACUGCAGAUGGCGAAAGAAGGUCCUUACGGUGGUUCGAGCUCUGCAUCAUCAGCUUCGGUGACGGGAAACAACUUUGACGUGUUCUUGAGUGUUGGAGAAAACUUCAUUGAGUGUUUUGAAGCUGACAAAACGUUUCCAUCAGUCUAGUCUGAAGACUUGCAGACUCUUCCAUCAAAGUCUGAAGACCUCCGAACUACUAGACUCAAGACUCAAAGUCUAUCCUCAUUGACAGUUUCUAGACUGUCGAAGAAGACUUAUCCAUAACUGGAUGUUUCGUCAAGGAUUUGACUUUAUCGACUGGAGUAGAUCUUAUGGUUGGAUAUAGUAUGACAGAAUCCUUUAUUUUGAUCAAGACUGAUUUAGGAAUCGUGGAUUCGUUGAUUGGUGAAAUAUACUUGGAAGGUUCUACUUAUGGAAACCAAGAUCCUUAUUGUAUGGGCAAACAAGAUUAAUGGGCUAUCGUCAUGUUCUUUAAAUAGCUCGAAGAUCUUCCUAAUUGAUUCUGUCAAACGGGUAGAUUGGAAGAAUUCCUUUGGUAAGUGCCAACGGGUAUGAUGGCAUAAAGGAGUAUAUAAGGAAAACGUUCCAAUUGUUCAAGUGUGUGUACGAUAGAAGAAUUCCAAAGUCUGAAGCUCCUUGUUCUUAGUCAAUUAAACUGUUGAGCGAAAUCUUGUACGCAAAAGAGAGUCUAUAUCAUUGAGAGACCUUGAGGAAGUGUAGUAGAGUCUCUACACUGUGGAAUCAAGGAAGAGCCUAACUAUAACAACUCUUUUGUUCAUAGUGAAAUCCAGCCAGUGGGCUGUCAGUGCAGAAGAGUGGACGUAGGCUUGGAUUAAGCCGAACCACUAUAAUCUCUAUGUUCAUAUUCUCUUCUCUACACUCUUUUACUUUGAUCGUAAUUCGUUUUGAGAAUUUCCUUUUCAUAAUCUAUUGUUGAUUAGCACUGCACAUAUCUCGCAAAAUUGUUUAUGCACUUAUUUACCCCCUCUAGGUGCUCAUACUAGCUCUCACAAUUGGUAUCAGAGCCCGUGUACUCACUUGAAUUGAAGUGUUUUACUUCAGAGUUAAAGAUCCAUGGCUAAUAUGUUGUCUCCAAAACUAGUUGAAGAGCAAAGCAAUACCAGACUGCCUUACUUUGAUGGAAAUGAUUACAACAUAUGAAAAAAAACAAGAUGAAGGCAUUCCUAAGAUCAAAGGAUCCUCUGGAAUGGGACGUGGUAGACAGAUGAAUCAUUCCUAAAACUGCACCUGUCUCAGAAAGAGGAAAAGAAACUGUUGAAUCUAGAGAAAUGACUCAAGAAGAGAUAACCAAGAGACAAGCUCUUGAUGCAAAAGUGAUUUAUUCUUUAUAUUGUGCAUUAUCACCUACUGAAUAUAACAAAAUAUCUUCUUGUGUUACAGCUAAAGAAGUCUGGGAUAGAUUACACAUCACGUAUGAAGGAACUGACCGAGUGAAAGAAACCAGAAUCAAUAUUAUGCUCCGACAAUACGAAGCAUUCAAAAUGAAAACAGGAGAAUCUAUCACUGACAUGUUUAGUCGUUUUACAAAGAUAGUGAAUGGUCUUGAAAGUCAAGGUCAACCAAUUUCUGAUCCCAUGAAAGUAAACAAGUUACUACGUGGACUCUCCAAGGAUUGGAAUUACAUAAAGACCUCAAUAAGGGAGGCACAAAGAAUUAUGCCACUCUCUGUUGAUGAGUUGGUUGGGACUCUUCAGUCUUAUGAAGUGGAGCGAAUCAACGAAGAUGAAGAUCCUAAAGGUAAGAAAUCCAUUGCAUUAAAAUCUAAUGAUAAUUCUGAUGUCACAGAUUCUGAAGACGAUAUGGAUGAUGAAGAGCUUGCUCUCAUAAUAAGAAGAUUUAGAAAGUUAAACAGAAAUGGAAGAAGAUUCAAUCCAAAGAAACAGAGCUUUCAAAAGUAACAGAGUAAGUCUGUUGAGGAUGAUGAAUCCAAUAGAGAUAUAGUCUGUUUUGAAUGUAAGAAAAAAUGACACAUCAGACCCAACUGUCCCCUUCUAAGGAAAAAUAAAGGAAAAACUGAGAAGUAUCAAAAGGCACUUAAAGCAGAAACUUGGAGUGAUACAGAAUGUGAAGAAAGUGAUGAUAAUCAUGCCAACAUUUGUCUCAUGGCACAAUCAGACUCAGACUCCAAAACAGACUCAGAUUCAGACAGUGAAAUCGAAGUAAGUAACUUGAAAAUUCCUACUAAAGUCUCUAGAUACAUUGAUGAACUGUGUCUUAGUCUCAAGACUUCUCUUAAAAGAAUUUCCAAACUCAAAAGAGAAAACUCUGCAUUAAAACAACAGGAAAAUGUUUUGAAAGAAAAGGUCAAAAGUUUAGAAAAAAAGUGUUUCUACCUUGAAGACAAUCUUUCAAAAGAAAAUGCAUUCUUGAAAAAUGACAUCUCAAAUAUUUCUAAAAGAUUUUCUAUAGGAUCUGAAAAACUUGAGAAAAUUCUUUCAGCAUAAAGACCUUACUUCAAUAAAUCAGGUUUAGGAAUGACUGCUAAAACCAUUCCUCUAAUUGAUUUUCCUAAAGUAAAAGAAAGAAUUAAGCAAAGACCUACGAGAAAUGCUUACAAAAAUCAUUUCAAAAAAGUGUUUGUAAAACCAGUAGGUCACAGUGCUCUUAAAUGUUCUAAGUGCAAUAGUUCAGAUCAUUUUGAAAAAGAAUGUUCUAUGGUUUGGAAACCUGUUAAGAAGGUAUGGGCAAAGACAUUAUAUCAUACUAACACCAAUUGACCCAAGAAAAUAUGGGUACCAAAGAAAGCUUGAGUCUCUUUUCUAAAUGCAGGUCACUAUUAAGAGAAAGAUUAAAUGGUACCUAGAUAGUGGAUGCUCAAGACAUAUAACAAGAAAUUCAAAUUGCUUCAUAAAACUUGUUCAAGUUAAUGGUGGAAAAGUUUCAUUUGGAGGAAACAACAAAGGAAGAAUUGUGGGAUUUGGAACUGUAAAGAUUGGAAGUCUCACAAUCAGUAAUGUUUCUUUAGUGGAAGGACUCAACUACAAUUUGCUUAGUAUCAGUCAGCUGUGCGACAUCGGCUUCAAAAUCAACUUUCAAGAGGGAAUAUGUUCAGGAACCAGAAAAGAUUCAUCUCAGUCUUUCACGGGUCAAAGACAUGGAAAUAUCUACCUCUUGGAUGUCAAACCAGAUGAAGCCCAAUGUCUAAUCUCAAUUCAAGAAGAAGCAAAUUUGUGGCACAGAAAACUUGGGCACAUCAACAUGAAGCACAUAGUUAAAAUUUCAGCAAAGAAGCUUGUUCGUGGUCUACCCAAUCUGUCAUUUCAAAAGACUGAUCUAUGUACACCAUUCGUGUUGGGAAAACAUGUAAGAAACUCAUUCAAACCAAUAAAUCAAGUUGCCACUAAUCGUGUACCGCAACUUCUGCAUAUGGAUCUCUUUGGACCAACCAGAACUCAAAGCAUUGAAGGUAAGAAAUAUUGCCUAGUAAUUGUGGAUGACUACUCACGAUUCACUUGGGUAUAUUUCCUGGUAAGUAAGUCUAAAACAUUUUCUUACUUCAAAAAGUUUGCUAAAAAUGUUCAAAAUGAAAAAGGGUAUGUUAUUUCAAGUAUACGAACUGACCAUGGAGGCGAAUUUGAAAAUCAAGACUUUACAAGAUUUUGUGAUGAAUCUGGUUUUCAGCAUGUGUUCUCUUCUCCAUACACUCCAGAGAAAAAUGGAGUCGUGGGAAGAAAAAAUAGAUCGCUUCAAGAGAUGGCUAGAACUCUUUUAAUUGAAAGAAACAUCUCUUUACGUUUUUGGGCUGAAGCAGUUUCUACAGCAUGUUAUAUCAUUAAUAGAGUUUUUCUAAGGCCUAUACUGGAAAAAACUCCCUACGAGUUAUUCAAAGGUAAGAAGCCCAUUGUUUCAUAUUUUCACGUGUUUGGAUGUAAAUGUUUUAUUUUGAAAAAUGCAAAUGAUCGAGUUGGGAAGUUUGAAGAAAAAUCAGAUGAAGGGAUCUUCUUUGGAUAUUCGACCACAAGCAAAGCCUACAGAGUAUACAACAAAAAGACUCAAUCUGUGGAGGAAUCAAUGAAUGUCAAAUUUCAAGACUCUAUGCAAAAUGAAUCGAUACAGACUCAACUUGAAGAAACUGAACCUGCUUUAGACUCUACAAAGUCUAAAUCUCCAGAAGCAGCUCAGACUUCAGAAGACCAGCAACAAAUAAUUGUCGAAGAUUCAAAUGAAGAAAAAGAUCAACAGUUUGACAAAUCAACCAGCAACUGGAAGCAUAAGUCCCGUCAUCCCACAGAUCUCAUUAUCGGCGAUAUUAAUGAAGGAAUUCACACAAGAUCCAAAAGGCGCGAAGAGUCUAGUGCUGUGGCUCUUAUUUCUGAAAUAGAACCCAAAAGUAUAGAAGAAGCUCUAAUUGAUGAAAGCUGGAUUGAAGCCAUGCAAGAAGAACUCAGGCAAUUCAAUAUCAAUGAUGUUUGGGAAUUAACUCAUAAACCGAAAGGUAAAUCCAUCAUUGGAGCUAAAUAGGUUUUCAGAAACAAGAUGAACGGGAAAGGAAAGGUUGUAAGAAACAAAGCAAGACUCGUGGCCAAGGGAUAUACGCAAGAAGAAGGGAUAGACUAUGAUGAGACUUAUGCACCAGUAGUAAGGUUAGAAGCAAUUAGAUUAUUACUUGCUUUUGCUUGUCAUAAAAAUUUCAGGUUAUUCCAAAUGGACGUCAAAAGUGCUUUCCUAAAUGGAUUUAUCCAAGAGGAAGUCUAUGUGGAACAACCACCCGGUUUUGAAAACCCAAGGAAACCAGACUCUAUUUUCAAACUGAAAAAGCUCUAUAUGGUCUAAAGCAAGCACCUCGAGCUUGGUAUGAUAGACUAAGUAAGUUUUUAAUCCAAAAUGGCUUUGUCAAAGGUAAUGUAGAUACUACAUUGUUUAUCAAAAGAGAAAGCAAAAGUUUUCUACUUGUUCAAAUUUAUGUUGAUAUUAUUUUUGGAUCUUCUAAUGAAAGUCUGUGCAAGAAAUUCUCUAAGUCUAUGCAGGAUGAAUAUGAAAUGAGCAUGAUGGGUGAACUAACCUUCUUUCUCGGGCUCCAAGUAAAACAACUAAAGGAAGGAACCUUUAUUUAUCAAGAAAAGUAUGUUAAAGAUCUUGUCAAAAAGUUUGGACUGAAAAAUUGCAAAAAGACUUAUGUACCAAUGUCAAAUUCCUUGAAGUUGGACAAAGAUGAAGGAGGAAAGAAAGUCGACCAAAAGUUAUGCAGGAGCAUCAUUGGUUCACUUCUUUACCUUACUGCUUCUAGACUUGAUAUUUUGUUUAGUGUUUGCAUUUGUGCCAGGUUUCAAUCAGACCCGAGAGAAUCUCAUUUAAGUGCUGCAAAACGUAUUAUCAAAUACAUUGCCUCAUCUUCAACUUUGGGUCUCUGGUAUCCUAAAGGAGACUUUACUCUUCUUGGAUACUCAGACGCAGACCUAGCCGGAUGUAGAGUUGAUAGAAAGAGCACCUCGAGCACCUGUCAACUACUUGGAAGCAGGACUAUGUCUUGGUUUUUAAGGAAGCAAAGUACAGUAGCUCUUUCUACAGCAGAAGCAGAAUAUGUAACUCUUGGAAGUUGUUAUUCACAAAUUAUGUGGAUAAAACAUUAGUUAAGAGACUUUGGAAUUGAAGAUUCAUGCACUGAAAUCAAAUGUGACAACACCAGCGCAAUCAAUCUCACCAAGAAUCCGAUUCUUCACUCAAGAGCAAAAUAUAUAGAGAUUCGACAUCACUUCAUUAGAGAUCAUGCUCAAAAUGGAGAAAUUUUGAUUCAGUUUAUUGACUCAAAGAAUCAACAGGCGAAUAUAUUUACAAAGCCUUUGGAGAAAAAUCAAUUUGAAGCUAUUCGUUCUAGACUCAAUAUCUUAAAGUUUGAGAAAGUUCAGACCUAGGACUGAAAGUCUAAAGAAUCUUAGACUCAGAUGAUCAAGAUUUUUUACUGUAAGAUAUUUUAUUUUCUCUUAGAUCAAAUCUCGAAAAGGUACGAUCAUCUAUCCGUAAUUGAUUGUUGCUAUUUUUAAUUUCUGUGAUUAUUGUAAUCUUUCCUUUUUGUAAAAGAAAUUUUUAAAAUGACAGUUAUCUAAUUUUUGAAAAGGUAGUUAUUUUUUUAAAAGGUAUCUUUAUAUUUCCUUUUACGACGUUCCGUAUGCAUCUCUUCGACUGUCUUAUAUACUGUCGGUUCUUCUUCAUUUUACUCUCAAAAACCCUAAGAGAGCACAUAUCUUCCAUUUAUGUCUUCUUCUCUUGUUUAAUCUUCGACAAGUUGUCAUCUUUCUUGGGAAAACAAGCUUGGAAUCCCUCCAAAUACUGUGAAAAAUGUCUUCUCAUAGAAAGUUUUUUAGGAUCGCGAACAGGGGACCACAGCAGAUGUGUGAGGGGCCUACGCACUUUGAUCUCAUCGAGGAAGAGGAAUCUCCUAAUCAGCAACAGAGCCCACAACAUUCUCAGCAACGUCCAUCUCCUCCGUUUAGACCUCAGAAUGUUGCACAUCAAGAAGAGGAAGAAAUCGUCGAAGACGCAGAACCCGUAAGAACUCUUAAGCCUGGCUUUAUUUAUAAGCUUUACCGUGCUUUGAAGAGGGGUGGUACUCCUUUGAACUACAUUGACGAAUUUUUGAAAGAAAAAGGGUAUCGAAAUGAAACUUAUUUUCUACGCACGAUGGAACGUUUGGGAAUUGCCCCUGCUAGAUCAGCGGAAGAGGCAUUCGCAAAUAUCGCAACUGAUCCACGUGUUGGAGGACUAAGUCAGCUAGAUGGGAAUGACGAUGAUAGGAUGUACAGUCAGUCUAAAUCGAGAAUGGGUGUUGCGGCAAAAAUCCGAAGCAAAAUGACAGACUUGUUUAGAUCGGAUGACCACAAGCAACUGUACUCUAAGUUGCUGAAGCAUGGGGUGAUAAAUCCUAGAAGUGUGGAUUUUGAUUUUCUUGACUCUGUGAAUGUCAAUCUGCGGGAGAAAUUCAGUCUUCUUCAACUCGAACAGUUUUGUUAUGAAUCACAGAAGCCUAUGCUGAACUUACUGCUUAUUUCUAUUCGAAUCUUAGUUUCUUGGAUGCGAAUUGAUUCUCUUUUAGUGUUCGAGAUCAGGACCAUGUGGUUGACAUGAAUACAUUGGCUGAUGUGAUUGGAGUUGAAAGAGGGAGAUAUCAACCUAUCAGUGUGUCUAUUGCUCGUGCAAUGUUGUAACUUGUUAAGGAUCGAAGAACGGAAGAAAAGAUUUCCUAUUCAAGGAUGAAUGCAACCAACAUUCUGCUUCAUAAGAUUGUGAUUAAUUGCCUCAGACCAAAAUCUACUUCAAAGACUGAUGUUUCAAACUCGGAGGCAAAGUUGAUGUAUGCCAUUAAUGCUGGAAAAAAAAUUCUCUCUUCCACACUCUAUUAUGUUCCAUAUGUACAGGGCAGUGGUGAAGGACAAGGGACAACUUCCUUAUCCAGCUCUUAUGACCAAGUUAUUCAGACACUUGAAUAUUCAGCCUCCCUGAAUUCUUUGUGGUCGAGCAUGUGAUCAAAUGGUGGUGGGACUGAAAAUGGUCUCUAAAAUGCAUCUAAAGGAACUCAACAAGGAGUUGGAGAAGUUCAAGGAGAAAACUCCUGUCAAAUCUCAUCAAAUAUCUUCGGCUGCAAAAAGGAAAGGGAAGGAGCCCAUGGUUGCUCCAUCCAAGAAAAGAAGAGCUCUCAUCGUUGAGGAUGAAGAGGAUGAGGAUGACAUUACCAUUUCUGCAAUGGUUUUGAAGAACCUGAGUCGUUCUACACUAGAAUCAAUGGAGAGAUAGGAAAAAGGUACGGCUGAAACAGAAUAGAGGACUGGAGAAAGUGAAGAUUUCGAGAAAGAAACAGAGGAGAGAGAUGCAGAGGAGGAAAGAAUUGAAGAAGAAGAAGAAGAAGAAGAGAGAGUAGAAAAAGAACAUGAAGAACACUCUUCUCCACCUAAAGGCAUGGAAACGGGGGAGAUCCUGAGAAAAGAGGAACAUCCUCAAUCCCUGCCACCAGUGAAGGAGUAAGUCGCUCUCCAGCAGAUCCAGAGGACAUCUAUGCCUCACAAUUUCCUGAGGAGGGACACGAUGUUUCAUCGCCCAAUCUGCGUGACAAUGCUGAUUUGCCAUCAUCUGCUUAUACACCGUCUGAUCGUGCAGAAGCAAGUACUUAGACUGAUAAUUCAGCAGACUUUCGCAGAAUUCUUGAUGUUCUUUUAGAGAUGAAAGGUCAAAUCUAUGCUCUGGGAUGCGAUCUUCAGAAUAUGCAGAAUGCAGGACAAGCUUCCUCAGUUUCUUUGAAUGAUCAACUCCAAGACCUUGCUCUUCAAGUUCAGACAAAUGCUAAGGGUGAAGAAGUAGCGCAACUAAAGGAGGACUUAAAAAGGCUGGAAGGCAUUGUUCAAUCAAUGGGAGAUUUCCAACUUGUCCGUGUUCCCAAGCCAUCUUAAUUUCAUUUUCUUUUCAUCUCUACAUUUUUAAUGAUGACAAAAAGGGGGAGAAAUGUGCAAAUUUGACUGUUUGGAUUUAAAACCUUUUUUGAUUGACUUGAUGUUUGUGUUUGGCUGUUUGGAUUUGGACUAGAUUUGGAAUUGACUGUUUGAACAUAUGUUUAUCUUAAGUAUUAUUGAUAUCUCAUGGCCUUGUUCAUAAGACUAACCUAUUUUCUGUGGAUGCAGAUUCUAGUGUUAUUACUAAGCCAUUUAUCUUUAUGAGAUAUCCAUAUUUGCUUGAGUAAUGUUUUGUAGGUCAAAGUUAUCCAAAUCUGUAGGAAAGUUUUGUCACCAUCAAAAAAUGGGAGAUUGUUGGAGAAAACUUCCUCGAGUGUUUUGAAGCUAACAAAACGUUUCCAUCAGUCUAGUCUGAAGACUUGCAGACUCUUCCAUCAAAGUCUGAAAACCUCCGGACUGCCAGACUCAAGACUCAAAGUCUAUCCUCAUUGACAGUUUCUAGACCGUCGAAGAAGACUUAUCCAGAACUGGAUGUUUCGUCAAGGAUUUGACUUUAUCGACUGAAGUAGAUCUUCUAGCUGGAUAUAGUAUGACAGAAUCCUUUAUUCUGAUCAAGAUUGAUUUAGGAAUCGUGGAUUCGUUGAUUGGCGAAGUAUACUUGGAAGGUUUCACUUAUGGAAACCAAAAUCCUGAUUGUAUGAGCGAGCAGGAUUAAUGAGCUAUCGUCAUGUUCCUUAAAUAGCUCGAAGAACUUCCUAAUUGAUUCUGUCCAACGGGUAGAUUGGAAGAAUUCAUUUGGUAAGUGCCAACGGGUAUGAUGGCAUAAAGAAGUAUAUAAGGAAGACAUUUCAGUUGUUCAAGUGCGUACGCGAUAGAAUAAUUCCAAAGUCUGAAGCUCCUCGUUCUUAGUCAAUUAAACUGCUGAGCGAAAUCUUGUACGCAAAAUGGAGUCUAUAUCAUUGAGAGACCUUGAGGAAGUGUAGUAGAGUCUCUGCACUGUGGAAUCAAGGAAGAGCCUAACUGUAACAACUCUUUUGUUCAUAGUGAAAUCCAGCUAGUGGGCUGUCAGUGCGGAAGAGUGGACGUUGGCUUGGAUUAAGCCAAACCACUAUAAUCUCUAUGUUCAUAUUUUCUUCUCUAUACUCUUUUACUUUGAUCGUAAUUCGUUUUGAGAAUUUCCUUUUCAUAAUCUAUUGUUGAUUAGCACUGCACAUAUCUCGCAAAAUUGUUUCUACACCUAUUCACCCCCUCUAAAUGCUCAUACUAGCUCUCACACUGAGCUUCAGAGGAAGCGACACCCAACAUGGGUUCACCGAUGUUCUCUAUAGAAGCCUCGUCAAUCACGGGGUUCGCACCUUCUUAGACGAAGAAGAGCUUUCCAUGGAGAGUACAUCAAGAAGCAGCUCCCUGAGUCGAUCAAGCUGUCGAAGAUUGGCAUCCCGAUCCUGUCCAAGGACUAUGCCUCGAGUAUACCAUGCCUUCGUGAGCUGGCUCAGAUGGUCCAGUGGCGCAAAGAGGGAAGAAUGAUCAUCAUGCCCGUCUACUUCUUGAUCACGGCGUGGGAUGUGGAAAUGAAGGAUGGGAGGGGUCCCCACGCGUAUAAAAUUGCUGCACACCAGGAGAAAGGAGUUGAUCCGGACACGGUUCAGAAAUGGGUGGAUGCCCUCAAAGAAGUGACAUCUGUGAAAGGGCGGCAACUGACCGAAUAUACUAGGUAAGGUUGAAGAAGGAUCUGUAGCUAGUUUGGCCUUGUUUUCUUUUCUUUUCUCCCCUUUUUUUGUCCUGAAUAAUGUGGCACUCUCAUGCUCAAUUCAAUUGAUUUCACGGCAAAUUGCCCCCGUAUACGAAAGUCACCGUCUGUUAAGGGUUGCGAUGGGCAGGGCCAAUGGUCACUCUGAAUUGACUGGGGCACACUCUUGCAUUUGUACCGAGCGUUUACCCAUUCCGUCCCAUUCACGUUUCAUCAGUUUCAGAUCUUUAUCCCCAGUUAACAGAAGUCGGGAGGAAUUUCGAGGACUCCGUGCGGAACCGGGCAACAGCGGCCGAGGCGGCAGUUGUUAGAAAAUAGUAAAAUUGAUUUUGUGUUUUGAUUAGCUUAUUUGUCUUCUAAUUGUUUUGGCUAAGUGUGUUAAAGCAAGAGUUAGUCGGUUUGUAAAAAGCCAAAGAAAAGUGGGCUGCAGCGUCACUUCGUAAACCGCCAAAGGAGAGAAUUCUUGAAGAAGCCACAAGCGGAUUAGAAAAAAAAGAAUGGGCACAUAUUAAAAUAAUAUUAUACUUGUUGCUGGAGUCUUCAAGAGCAGGAAGAAAGCUUCAACUUCGUAAACUUGAACGUGAAGGAAAAGUUUCAGCCCAAAAUUGUUGACUCCUUAGCCAAGAAGAAAAGUUCAACUUCAACUCUUGCACGUCGAAGAUAAUAGCGGUGAAGAUGCUUAUAAAUAUAGGGUUAUGUUAGUUUAUUUAGUGUGUGAGAGAGUGAGAUAGCUUCACAAGCAUAUAGAAAGCUAGAGAGAGUUUUAAACUUAGCAAAGUUUGUGUGUGUACUCCAUUAAGCCUUUGAAGGCAUAUUGUGUAAUAUAUUCUCUCUUUGUGUGUUUAUAAUCUCUCCCUCCAAAUCCUUUUGGUUCCAACAGCGGUGCCAGUCACGCAGGCAGGUGAGACCCCGGAAAGAGCCGCCCACUCCGGUGGUAUGAAGUAGACGAUACUAGAGAAGGAGGCGCCGACACGAAAACCACUUUCAUUUUGAAAGUAGGAGAUGGCUAUUGACUUUCUUGGUCCCCUUCUUACUCGGGCCGAUGUGUAUUUGAGCUUCAAACGAUCAGACACCCGCAAGGUCUUUGUGGAUCAUCUCUGCAAUAGCCUCCAAAAAGAGGGAAUCCUCGUGGUCCUUGGGCGGUCAAUUCCCCCGUUUAUCGGGCAGGCCGAGAUCGCCAUUCCAAUCCUGUCAGAGAACUAUCCGUGGAGCAGACGGUGCCUCCGAGAGCUGGCUCAGAUUGUGGAGGCCCACGAGACGAUGGGCCAGAUCAUCAUGCCCGUCUUCCUCAACGUCACGCCCUCGGUCGUGAAAAACGUAUCCCACGGUUACCGCAAGGCUAUCAACAAGCAUAGACGGACAGGAGUCGACCCAGAAACCCUCCGGAAAUGGGAGAAAGCUCUCAUCCAUGUGGGAUCCAUCUCAGGGUUGGCGAGUAAUCGGUGAGUGUAAUUGAGUAAGUUUGAUUGAGUAACGUGGCAUCCAAAUCCCAAGGUGGCGCUUACUUCAAUUUAAGUUAAUCUGAUUAGACUAAUGCUAGGUGUCUCAAUACCUGAUGUAGCUCCCUCUGAUCCGGUACUGAAUGUGAUCCGUUUGUUUAUGUUCUUUCUCCCAGCUUGCCACAUUACCUAGUGCUUCGGUUUUGUCGAUAAAUUUCAAUAUUCGUCUCGUUACACAUCUAUUUAAAAGCACAUGACUCAGUUUUAGUAAAAGUAUGUACCACUAUUUGUGUGCCCUGUUUGUCUAAAGCUGAUUACUAUAUAAUAGUUUUUAAAAGGAGAGCGCGAACUUCUUCUUGCAAAUUACUUCAGAGUUCAAACAUUGAUAGACUUACAUUAAUCUUUAUGCAUGUGCCUUGUGCACACGUGCACGCAUGAUACAGCUUAGGCACACGUGCUUUGAUCAUUGAUGUAGUUGUCGCAAAUGUGAUGAGGAUGUUGAAGAGACUCUCCGUUGGCAUCGAGCGUCAUGAGGAAGCAGUUAUGAAAUUACUAAAUGUGGAAUCUAGUGAUGUUCGUGUAGUUGGAAUACAUGGCAUAGGGGGCACUGGGAAGACAACGAUUGCAAAGUUUGUCUACAAAAGAAUAUUUCAUCUCUUUGAUGGCUGUAGCUUUCUGGAAAGCUUUAGAGAAAAUGCCAAAAAACCAGGAAGCUUAGUUGAUUUGCAAGGUCAGCUGAUUUCUGACCUUCUAGGUGCAAUGCAUAGACAAAUUCCUUCUGUUGAUGAUGGGAUUAAGUCCAUCAGAAGCAGAUUCUUCCACAAGAAAAUUCUCAUUGUUUUCGAUGAUAUCGAACCAGGCUUUGAACUUACUCCAAUUUUAGGAAGUCUUGAUUGGUUAGGCUCUGGAAGCAGGAUCAUAAUUACCACCAGAGCCGAACAAGCUUUAGAUAAGCUUGAAGUGAUCCUGAAAUAUAAGGUUGGGGGAAUGCAACAACAUGAAGCCCUUAUGCUUUUCCACAUCCAUGCCUUCAGGGAGAAACCUACUCCGAAUGAGUUUGCUACUCUGUCCGAAAAAAUAGUAUCGACUAUUGACUGGCUUCCGUUGACUAUUGAGGUUGUCGGGUCAUAUCUAUUUUCUAAAGGCAAGGAUGUAUGGAUGCAAACCUUAGACGAGUUGGAAAAAGUACCUAAGCUACAAGUUGAACAGAAGUUGAUGGUAAUCAUCAAAGCAUUACCUGACAAGCAAAGACAGAUGUUUCUGGACAUUGCUUGUUUCUUCAUUGGAGAGGACAAAAGCAUUGCUUGCUACCUGUGGUCCGACUGUGAUUCUGCUAGUGGAUUGGAAUUACAAGUGCUCGUUCUCUCCUCUAUUGUUAAGAUUGAGAACAAUAAGCUGUGGAUGCAUGAUCAACUUCAAGACCUAGCUAGGGAUAUCGUCCAAGGGGAACAUCGUGAACCUGGAAAUCGUAGCAGAUUGUGGUUACAAAAUGAAGCCUUGGAUGUGCUGACAAAUGAAAAAGUAAGAUACAAGUUCAUCACUUUUUUUACCUUACGAUUGUGUGCCUUACAAUUUAGUGAUCCGUUUUUCAUAGAGGAAAGACCAUUAAGGUGCGUUUGUUUCUUGGAAAAUGAAUGAUUUGGAAAACAUUUUCUUAAAAAUGUUCGUUUAUAUUUCUUGAAAUAAUUAGUCUUUGAUAAUUUUUCAUUAUUGAUAACAAUUUAUGUAUGCACAUUUUCAUGGACGAUGAAAAUAUUUUUUGUUCAUUUGUUUUUGUAAUAGAUACAACUGAUCAUUUUCAGCGAAAUGUUUUCCAAAUCAUUCAUUUUCUAUAAAAUAAAUGGACUUUUAAUAAAAAUGAUUUCUUUAGUUUGAAGUCUCUAAGCAUUUAUUAUCUUCACAUAUUUUUGUGGGGAAAUGCGAAGUCCCUUGGUAAUCCUAUAUUCCACAUGUAGGGAACGGAUAGUGUUCAAGGUGUUCUUCUCAAAUUUGACAGUAGGUCACAGUGCAGUUUUAAACCAGCACAUUUUGCGAGUAUGUCGAACAUAAGAUUCCUUAGAUUGGAUCAGGCGAACCUUGAAGGAAAGUUUGAGCGGCGUCUUUCAAGUUUAAGAUGGCUCCACUGGCAAGGUUGUCCUCGUAAUCUUUGUGCUGGAAAUUUGGAUUUGAAGAAAUUGGUUAUUCUAGAUCUUUCCUGGAGCAAGGUCAACGAAAAAUGGAAUGGUUGGAGAGAAAUCAAGGUAGGGAAGUUUAUUAUUUUUAAUCUCAUUUGUCAAAUUGUAGCAGAAAAGUUGACUCUUUUGUUAUUCUACUUUCUGACAGAAAGCCGAGAAAUUGAAAGUUCUGAACCUCACCGGUUGCGUUGACUUGAUCAAAACUCCAGACUUGUCUUAUUACAAAUGUUUAGAGAGAUUGAUUCUUGAAAGGUGCAUUCGAUUGGUUGAAAUUGGUUCAUCGGUAAAAAGUCUGGAGAGGUUGGUUUCACUGAACUUGAGGUCUUGUACUGAACUCAAUAAGUUGCCUGAAGAGUUGGGUUCCCUCAUAUCCUUGGAAGAGAUUCUUAUAGAUGAAACUGCUGUUCAAAAAAUUCCUACCUCCAUCGGUCAUUUGCAAAAGCUUAGAAUAUUCAGUGCCUGCAACUGUCUUUCAUUGAUCCAGCUGCCCGAUUCAAUUAGUCAUGUGAAAUCUCUGAGAGUCUUCGUACUAAAUGGUACCAAAAUAACUGAACUUCCCCUGUCUGAAGAGUUAGAAGUGCUACAGCACUUGUCAAUAAAUCAUUGUAGGUCCAUGUUGAAGUUACAAACGUCCUUGGGGAGUUUGGCUUCAUUGAUCAAACUUGAUUUAUCAAGUACUGGAAUUGUCGAAUUACCUAAUACAGUCAAUAAGUUAAAUCUUUUAGAAGUGCUCAAAAUUGAUUUUACUUUUGUACGAGAGCUGCCUAGUGCUAUAUGGAAGUUGAAGAGGCUUGAAGAGCUACAUGCUUCAAGAUGUCGGAGUUUGGCUGGGGAAAUUCCUAGAGAUAUUGAGCAGCUUUCGAGAUUGAAGGUCUUGAGGCUUGGAUACUCUCGGAUUCGUAGCCUACCAGAUAGCAUUUCUAGACUUCCCAAUCUGCAAACACUUGAUCUGCUUCAUUGUGACAAGCUCCAUAGAGUGCCCAAGCUUCCUUCCACUUUAAUAAGCCUAUCUGUCAGUUCUAAAUUGAUGGAUACAAUCCCAGACAUCAGUAGGCUAGUUAAGUUGGCAGAGUUAUUCUUGGCUGAUGGAUCCCAAGAAUUGGUAUUAUCAAGUUGAGACCAAAGGACACACUUAUUUGGAGCUCGGGAGUUUGCCAGAGCUAAAGAUAUUGCAGCUAUCUCUGUUAAAGAUCCAACUACUACCUGUUGGGUUGCAUCUCCUUUUUAAGCUCACAAAGCUCUCCCUUUGCUGCAUUUGCUUGAAAAAGCUACCACGGCUUCCUUCAGGUUUAUUCACUCUCUCACUUUGCCAGUACAAAUCACGGACAGGAUUGCCAGAUCUUUCGUAUUUGGAGCUCCUGUCAGAAUUCGAGCUUUCCGACUGUGCUGUAACAGAAGUUGCAGGCCUUGGGCAGUUCAAAUCCUUGCGAAUUUUUAGAAUAUCACACUGCAACUUGCAACAGCUAGAUGAGCUGGAGAACUUGAUAUUUUUAGCAUCAUUGAAUGUUUCGUACUGUCAAGGUCUUGAGAGACUUCCCGAUCUAUCAAAACUGAAGAAGCUGAAAGAUAUUAAAAUCAACAACUGUCCGAAGAUUCGUGAUAUUAAAAGUGUGGAACACCUGCAUUCCUUUGAGAAGCCAACUAGUGCCAUAAUUGAGACGGAAAGCUCAUCCGAGGUAACCGACACUAUGAUUUUCCCUCUGGACCACAUAUAUGGAGGUUGGCACUUGAUUAGCACAUUGCAUGUUUGGAAUUUUUACUAAGAUGAAUGAAUUUCUUAAUAAUGAAAAAAGUGCAUGACAUGAUGAAUUACGAGGGACGGGAUAUUUUCUCCCAUUAACACAUGCAGAAGAAUUUUUCAAAUGAAAUUUGAGUCAUCAAGACUUUGUAUUUCUUUCAUCUUUUUUACUUGAAAGAUGGGUCCAAAUUUGUUAAGGACUCCACUUCUUUGAAAGAGCAUUUUACUUUUUCUUGUAUUUUUCUGCGAUAUACAACCAAAGAACUUCUAUUAAUGCCAAUUAGUUUAAUCAAGCUUUUGGGAGGUGUUGUUAUGUAUUCAAUCCAUAGCAUUGAACGUUGUAUUGGAAUCUUAAAUCUUUGAUGUGUUGCAGAAAAGCUCUGGCUUCUGUACUAGUAUCUUAAAUUUUUUAUGGGGUGCUUCCGUAAUAUUCAAGAUCUUAAUCCAAAGUACUUUUAAUAAAUUGGGAUGAGUAGCUCAUAGAAGGUAUUCCAUUCUUCAAACUUUUUCUCUUUUAAUUCAGACUUGUUUGAUGAGCUACUCCUCCAAGGAUAUAGUCUGAUCAAUACCGUCAAUGAAAUCUCAAAAUUCAUUUGGUCUCUUUUCACGUUCAGUCAGUUUGAAUCUAAGCAUCAAUCUUUAUAACCGUUUGACACAUGGUAGAAGUCUUAUUCGAUGCACUGAAUACAUGCUUACACAGGUUUUAUCACAGGUGGAGUUUAGCAAACCAGCUAAUACCAAACAUUCUUCCAUUCAGGGUGUCAAAUGCAAGGAUAAAAGUAUGUUGUACAUUGAGAUUGUCAAAUUUGAGUUGUCCUAUAAGAUUUAACUAUGAUUUCAACCUUGCAAUGUAGAACACUGAAAGAGGUCAUGGCUAGAAAGCUGCCAGCCCAUAAGGAUAGGCAGUCAAAGGAUUAUUUCAAGCUAUGACAUGUUGUUGGAACUGAUUAGACCUUAGACUAAUUUUUUGGGCUAAAAGGAAAAUUUUACUCCUUAUUUAAUGCUCCUUUUCCUCCUAAAGCACAAGCAAAAUCUUCCGAUUCUGUCAAGUCAAUAACUGAAACUAUGGGCGCUUCUUCUAACUUGCGAAAUUCUCCCUCUGUUGCAGGUUCAUCAACCACGUGGCAUAGAGUGAAGGUAAACUACAGAUGUCUUGCUUCCUAUCUCACUCCAUCAAUGAAUAACUCUGUAUUUCUUUCAGGCCAUUGCUUCCAAAUUCAACUGUCAGAUGAUUUCCAGAACCAAGCCAACACACUCUUUUCCACAUUAAUCAAACUUAAGUGUUGAGCCAGAUAAGAGGGACAAAAACUACUGGCAUCUCGCCAUCAACAGAGCAAGAAGAUGUGCCACUUGACAGGGCAUCGACUAUCCCUUCUUUGGCAACAAUUGGUUCUGCUGUGCCUCCUCCUGCUGCUCAACCAUAGUCAUCAUCAGCAAUGGACAAAGAUAAAGCCCCUAUAAUUGUCGAGGCAGAUUUACGUGGUGGCGGAGAGGAAUCUCUUUCCUCAGAGAUCGAGUCUCUGUUGAGUGAUGACUCAGGAGAGCAAAAUACUGGGACAGAGAUGUCACAAGCAAGUCAUUUUGAUCUUCAAGCAUACCAGAAUGCAUCGCAAGAGUUGGAAAUUAUAAUGAGUCAGGGACUCCAGGCAAUCGUGUUUAAUCCCAAGCUACUUGGUCAAUUGCAAGAAUUACUGAACUUCUUAGUCGAACAAAAUGCACCAGAGGUCUCUACUAUUGGACAUCAAUGUGUCUAUCUCAAAUUGAAGAACUUUAUUCAGACUCAGGUGACUCCCUCUCUUCCCAAUAAAAGAUCCUCAUUGAAUAUGAGAGGUUAGAAGGGGAGCUCAAAAUGGAAAUGUAUCUUUUGGCGUCUGACAAGGAUGAAGUUCGUUUGAUCAUGAAACAAUGUGAAGAGAAAGCUAAGACCGUGGCUGACAAUGAGCGAGUUAUAACCCAACUUCAAGCAGAGAUUGAGGCACGCAAGCAGACAGUUGAGAAUGCAAAGUCAGAAAUAUCAUAUCUGUCGACAAUGAGAUUGGAGAAAGUUAAGGAACUGAAGAAUUAAGUACGAGCAGGUCCUCAGUAUGAAGAGAGAGAAUCCAAGCAGGGAAAAGAAGAGAAAUCAAGCUUUGGAAAUGAUUGACAAAAUCAAUGUAGAGUGGAAUGAAUUGUGUGCGGAUAGUAAAGGCCGAUUAGCCUCUAAAUAGGCUGGCACUUUUCACUUUCUUUUAUUUGAAUCUUCAUGUAUCGAAAACUUUUCCAUUCUGGCA
This 20674-nucleotide long non-coding RNA is filed under the name Eucalyptus grandis. RNAcentral's name for it is "long non-coding RNA (EGRA_LNC001589)". Lineage: Eukaryota; Viridiplantae; Streptophyta; Magnoliopsida; Myrtales; Myrtaceae. The record is from RNAcentral.